GUAACUUCAUAGCUCAGUGGUAGAGCAUUUGCACCAGAAUCACACUUGUCAUGGGUUCGAAUCCCAUCAGAGCCU
Molecule: non-coding RNA, 75 nt
Organism: Desmophyllum pertusum
Lineage: Eukaryota; Metazoa; Cnidaria; Anthozoa; Scleractinia; Caryophylliidae
Source: the annotation of a GenBank genome assembly